RNAcentral lists this long non-coding RNA (771 nucleotides) under Anser brachyrhynchus (Pink-footed goose). RNAcentral's name for it is "lncRNA (ENSABRG00000005436.1)". Lineage: Eukaryota; Metazoa; Chordata; Aves; Anseriformes; Anatidae. The record is from RNAcentral.
UGUAGAUUCACCCUUCUCUGAGGAGCUCUGUGUACAGAGAAGACAGCCAUCCCAGAGCUCUGGAUGACUCAGGUCCUGUCACUCCACUGUUCUUCUCAACUUCCAGAGAGAAAAGGCAGAACACAGUUUACCCUUACUGUUCUGGUCUCAUUUGCACAGUGCAGGUUUGUGCCUGAGCCCAGCUGUUCCCUUUCUCAUGUUCACCUGUUUUCCUCAUCCCACUCAUUACACACAAUGUCCUCCAGCUGUUGAUAAGUGAGACUGGGAAUGCAUACGAGCCAUGGCCUGAAGAGAAACCUGUUGAACUGAGGCUAAAAUUUCCCUUCAGGGAGCCAAGGGAUUUUUUUUUUUCUUCACUUACAAGAAAGAAGGGGCAGAAGCCAGCAAAGGAAGCCAGUGCAGCUGGCAAUGGAGGAAUUAGUCUGCUGGAAAAUACACUUUCCUCCCCACCUCAGUUUUAUAAAACUGACCAAAAGGCCAAGCCAGGAUAUGACAAAUUUUCCUUCCUAAAAGAUUGGCAAGGUCUCGUUGGAGCUAAGCCAGGAAUGCAGGGCAUCCAGAGGAAUUGCCUCCUUUGGCCUCUUCCAUCUCAGAGGCCACUGAGCAUGGUGAGAUACUUCAGCUCUCAUACCAUCCUGAUGGUUCCUACUUCUGGGUUUUGAUGAUGUUACCUUUAAAAUUACCAAACUGAUUUGCUAGGAGUCAAGUAGCCAUUGUCAAUCCGGUGUCCUAUAUCUGGAUGGUACAAGACAGGAAAAAUUAAAUAAAAAC